GAUGGUUAAUCUAAACUCAUAUGGUAGUUUGUGUUUAUUUUUAUUAUUAUUAGUUUAUUAUUAGUAGUUUCCCAUUGAAUAUAGAUUACAUGCAGGAAAGGUACCCUUGUCAUGGUCCUUACACUCAAGGAACUUAAAAUAAAAAGAGGAAGGAAGUCCUGGGUAAGAGCAAUUCAAGCAGCAAAAGAGGCAGGCUUGCAGCAGAGUGCAGCUGAAGGGCUCUCUGGGCUCAGAGAAGGGAAUGGCUGCUUCGCACACAAGGGUUGGGAAGAUCUCUGCACAAAGUGACACCAGGAAUGUCAAUCGAUGGUUUCAUACUACUGACAAAAAUGGAGAUGCUGUCCUAGAGAGUUCCAGAAACUAAGCCACAUUAACAAGUGAUUAUUAUGCAAAAAGAGCAACAGUUUAAAUAGACUGUAGAAAGGAUGUCCUCAUAAUGCUGUCCAAAGUUCCUGGAAUUUGGCUUCUUGUUACCAUGGAGGAGGCAGAAGUAGGUAUCUCAUGAGAUACCCUGAUAUGAGCUGUGGAAAAAUGGGAGAAACAUGAGACAAGUUGAAGAUGGCAAAAGAAAAGCUUACAAUGGUAACAAAUACGUAACAAAGCUGGCAAGAGAGGAGGAAGUACAAAAAACUCACCAACGUUUCUUAUACCACAACACAGGAACUAUCAGAAGCACCAGGAGCACUACCACUACCAAGUGCCAUCUACAACCAUGGAAAGGCCCCAGCCAGACCAGCAGGAUGAACUCCUGGCCAGACCGCUUGCUGUACACUGUGAAGUGACUGGAUUGGAAGAACUCAGUGGUGUCUAAUUCCAUUUCAAAUUUAAUAUUCUUUGAUUUGAUCUGUGUUCUUCGGCAUUCC
This 863-nucleotide long non-coding RNA is filed under the name Chinchilla lanigera (long-tailed chinchilla). Its description in RNAcentral is "lncRNA (ENSCLAG00000028497.1)". The record is from RNAcentral. Lineage: Eukaryota; Metazoa; Chordata; Mammalia; Rodentia; Chinchillidae.